GCCUAGGAGUCCUUGGUCAGUGGGGACAUGGAGAAGGCUUCUGAGGA
Homo sapiens (human) is the source of this 47-nucleotide microRNA precursor. Lineage: Eukaryota; Metazoa; Chordata; Mammalia; Primates; Hominidae. The record is from Ensembl.